GCAUAUCAAUAAGCGGAGGAAAAGAAACUAACAAGGAUUCCCCUAGUAACUGCGAGUGAAGCGGGAAAAGCUCAAAUUUAAAAUCUGGCGGUCUUAUGGCCGUCCGAGUUGUAAUCUGGAGAAGUGUUUUCCGCGUCGGACCGUGUACAAGUCUCCUGGAACGGAGCGUCAUAGAGGGUGAGAAUCCCGUCCAUGACACGGACCGCCGAUGCUUUGUGAUACACUCUCGAAGAGUCGAGUUGUUUGGGAAUGCAGCUCAAAAUGGGUGGUAAAUUCCAUCUAAAGCUAAAUAUUGGCGAGAGACCGAUAGCGAACAAGUACCGUGAGGGAAAGAUGAAAAGCACUUUGGAAAGAGAGUUAAACAGUACGUGAAAUUGUUGAAAGGGAAACGCUUGAAGUCAGUCGCGUCUUUCAGAACUCAGCCUUGCUUCGGCCUGGUGUACUUUCUGUUAGACGGGUCAACGUCAAUUUCGAUCGGCGGAGAAAGGUUGAGGGAAUGUAGCGUUGUUUCGGCGACGUGUUAUAGCCCUUUUCUGUAUACGUCGGCUGGGAUUGAGGACCGCAGCGCGCCUUUAUGGCCAGGGGUUCGCCCCAUGUACCGCGCUUAGGAUGUUGGCAUAAUGGCUUUAAGCGACCCGUCUUGAAACACGGACCAAGGAGUCUAACAUGCUUGCGAGUAUUCGGGUGGAAAACCCUUGUGCGUAAUGAAAGUAAAAGUUGGGAGCCUCCGCGAGGGGGUGCACCGACGCCCGGCCCUGACGUUCUCUGACGGUGCUGCGGUAGAGCAAGUAUGUUGGGACCCGAAAGAUGGUGAACUAUGCCUGAAUAGGGUGAAGCCAGAGGAAACUCUGGUGGAGGCUCGUAGCGAUUCUGACGUGCAAAUCGAUCGUCAAAUUUGGGUAUAGGGGCGAAAGACUAAUCGAACCAUCUAGUAGCUGGUUCCUGCGA
This 948-nucleotide ribosomal RNA is filed under the name Porodaedalea chrysoloma. RNAcentral describes it as "LSU rRNA". It matches the Rfam family "Eukaryotic large subunit ribosomal RNA", at positions 38 to 963 of the family's 3401-position model. The record is from RNAcentral. Lineage: Eukaryota; Fungi; Basidiomycota; Agaricomycetes; Hymenochaetales; Hymenochaetaceae.